CUCUAGUGACCGAUAGUGAACCAGUACCGUGAGGGAAAGGUGAAAAGCACCCCGGAAGGGGAGUGAAAUAGAACCUGAAACCGUGUGCUUACAAGUAGUCAGAGCCCGUUAAUGGGUGAUGGCGUGCCUUUUGUAGAAUGAACCGGCGAGUUACGAUUUGAUGCAAGGUUAAGCAGUAAAUGUGGAGCCGUAGCGAAAGCGAGUCUGAAUAGGGCGUUUAGUAUUUGGUCGUAGACCCGAAACCAGGUGAUCUACCCUUGGUCAGGUUGAAGUUCAGGUAACACUGAAUGGAGGACCGAACCGACUUACGUUGAAAAGUGAGCGGAUGAACUGAGGGUAGCGGAGAAAUUCCAAUCGAACCUGGAGAUAGCUGGUUCUCUCCGAAAUAGCUUUAGGGCUAGCCUCAAGUGAUGAUUAUUGGAGGUAGAGCACUGUUUGGACGAGGGGCCCCUCUCGGGUUACCGAAUUCAGACAAACUCCGAAUGCCAAUUAAUUUAACUUGGGAGUCAGAACAUGGGUGAUAAGGUCCGUGUUCGAAAGGGAAACAGCCCAGACCACCAGCUAAGGUCCCAAAAUAUAUGUUAAGUGGAAAAGGAUGUGGCGUUGCCCAGACAACUAGGAUGUUGGCUUAGAAGCAGCCAUCAUUUAAAGAGUGCGUAAUAGCUCACUAGUCGAGUGACACUGCGCCGAAAAUGUACCGGGGCUAAACAUAUUACCGAAGCUGUGGAUUGUCCUUUGGACAAUGGUAGGAGAGCGUUCUAAGGGCGUUGAAGCAUGAUCGUAAGGACAUGUGGAGCGCUUAGAAGUGAGAAUGCCGGUGUGAGUAGCGAAAGACGGGUGAGAAUCCCGUCCACCGAUUGACUAAGGUUUCCAGAGGAAGGCUCGUCCGCUCUGGGUUAGUCGGGUCCUAAGCUGAGGCCGACAGGCGUAGGCGAUGGAUAACAGGUUGAUAUUCCUGUACCACCUAUAAUCGUUUUAAUCGAUGGGGGGACGCAGUAGGAUAGGCGAAGCGUGCGAUUGGAUUGCACGUCUAAGCAGUAAGGCUGAGUAUUAGGCAAAUCCGGUACUCAUUAAGGCUGAGCUGUGAUGGGGAGAAGACAUUGUGUCUUCGAGUCGUUGAUUUCACACUGCCGAGAAAAGCCUCUAGAUAGAAAAUAGGUGCCCGUACCGCAAACCGACACAGGUAGUCAAGAUGAGAAUUCUAAGGUGAGCGAGCGAACUCUCGUUAAGGAACUCGGCAAAAUGACCCCGUAACUUCGGGAGAAGGGGUGCUCUUUAGGGUUAACGCCCAGAAGAGCCGCAGUGAAUAGGCCCAAGCGACUGUUUAUCAAAAACACAGGUCUCUGCUAAACCGUAAGGUGAUGUAUAGGGGCUGACGCCUGCCCGGUGCUGGAAGGUUAAGAGGAGUGGUUAGCUUCUGCGAAGCUACGAAUCGAAGCCCCAGUAAACGGCGGCCGUAACUAUAACGGUCCUAAGGUAGCGAAAUUCCUUGUCGGGUAAGUUCCGACCCGCACGAAAGGCGUAACGAUUUGGGCACUGUCUCAACGAGAGACUCGGUGAAAUCAUAGUACCUGUGAAGAUGCAGGUUACCCGCGACAGGACGGAAAGACCCCGUGGAGCUUUACUGUAGCCUGAUAUUGAAAUUCGGCACAGCUUGUACAGGAUAGGUAGGAGCCUUUGAAACGUGAGCGCUAGCUUACGUGGAGGCGCUGGUGGGAUACUACCCUAGCUGUGUUGGCUUUCUAACCCGCACCACUUAUCGUGGUGGGAGACAGUGUCAGGCGGGCAGUUUGACUGGGGCGGUCGCCUCCUAAAAGGUAACGGAGGCGCUCAAAGGUUCCCUCAGAAUGGUUGGAAAUCAUUCAUAGAGUGUAAAGGCAUAAGGGAGCUUGACUGCGAGACCUACAAGUCGAGCAGGGUCGAAAGACGGACUUAGUGAUCCGGUGGUUCCGCAUGGAAGGGCCAUCGCUCAACGGAUAAAAGCUACCCCGGGGAUAACAGGCUUAUCUCCCCCAAGAGUUCACAUCGACGGGGAGGUUUGGCACCUCGAUGUCGGCUCAUCGCAUCCUGGGGCUGUAGUCGGUCCCAAGGGUUGGGCUGUUCGCCCAUUAAAGCGGUACGCGAGCUGGGUUCAGAACGUCGUGAGACAGUUCGGUCCCUAUCCGUCGUGGGCGUAGGAAAUUUGAGAGGAGCUGUCCUUAGUACGAGAGGACCGGGAUGGACAUACCUCUGGUGUACCAGUUGUCGUGCCAACGGCAUAGCUGGGUAGCUAUGUGUGGACGGGAUAAGUGCUGAAAGCAUCUAAGCAUGAAGCCCCCCUCAAGAUGAGAUUUCCCAACUUCGGUUAUAAGAUCCCUCAAAGAUGAUGAGGUUAAUAGGUUCGAGGUGGAAGCAUGGUGACAUGUGGAGCUGACGAAUACUAA
RNAcentral lists this ribosomal RNA (2423 nucleotides) under Staphylococcus aureus. RNAcentral's name for it is "partial 23S ribosomal RNA". It matches the Rfam family "Bacterial large subunit ribosomal RNA", at positions 475 to 2904 of the family's 2925-position model. The record is from RNAcentral. Lineage: Bacteria; Bacillati; Bacillota; Bacilli; Caryophanales; Staphylococcaceae.